GACGAACGCUGGCGGCGUGCUUAACACAUGCAAGUCGAACGGAAAGGCCCUGCUUUUGUGGGGUGCUCGAGUGGCGAACGGGUGAGUAACACGUGAGUAACCUGCCCUUGACUUUGGGAUAACUUCAGGAAACUGGGGCUAAUACCGGAUAGGAGCUCCUGCUGCAUGGUGGGGGUUGGAAAGUUUCGGCGGUUGGGGAUGGACUCGCGGCUUAUCAGCCUGUUGGUGGGGUAGUGGCUUACCAAGGCUUUGACGGGUAGCCGGCCUGAGAGGGUGACCGGCCACAUUGGGACUGAGAUACGGCCCAGACUCCUACGGGAGGCAGCAGUGGGGAAUAUUGCACAAUGGGCGGAAGCCUGAUGCAGCAACGCCGCGUGCGGGAUGACGGCCUUCGGGUUGUAAACCGCUUUCGCCUGUGACGAAGCGUGAGUGACGGUAAUGGGUAAAGAAGCACCGGCUAGCUACGUG
RNAcentral lists this ribosomal RNA (468 nucleotides) under uncultured bacterium. RNAcentral describes it as "partial 16S ribosomal RNA". It matches the Rfam family "Bacterial small subunit ribosomal RNA", at positions 28 to 507 of the family's 1533-position model. The record is from RNAcentral.